This 102-nucleotide small nuclear RNA is filed under the name Teladorsagia circumcincta. The record is from RNAcentral. Lineage: Eukaryota; Metazoa; Nematoda; Chromadorea; Rhabditida; Trichostrongylidae.
AAAAUUUUGGAACGCUUCACGAACUUGCGCGUCAUCCUUGUGCAGGGGCCAUGCUGAUCGUCUCUGUAUUGUUUCAGUUUCAGUAUAUGCCAAGGAAUGAAC